AAGAAGCAAAGCCGCGAGGUAGAGCAAAUCUCAAAAAAAACAUCUCAGUUCAGACUGCAGGCUGCAACUCGCCUGCACGAGGCCGGAAUUGCUAGUAAUCGUAGGUCAGCAUACUACGGUGAAUACGUUCCCGGGCCUUGUACACACCGCCCGUCACACCAUGGGAGUCGGUAACACCCGAAGCCUGUAGUCUAACCGCAAGGAGGACGCAGUCGAAGGUGGGAUUGAUGACUGGGGUGAAGUCGUAACAAGGUAAC
Molecule: ribosomal RNA, 257 nt
Filed under: uncultured bacterium
Lineage: Bacteria
Description: partial 16S ribosomal RNA
Rfam family: Bacterial small subunit ribosomal RNA
Source: RNAcentral